This 66-nucleotide transfer RNA is filed under the name Amphiophiura penichra. RNAcentral's name for it is "tRNA-His". Lineage: Eukaryota; Metazoa; Echinodermata; Ophiuroidea; Amphilepidida; Ophiuridae. The record is from RNAcentral.
UCGACAAUAGUUUAUAAAAAACAAUAGAUUGUGAUUCUAAAGAAUAAGACACAGUCUUAUGUCGAC